RNAcentral lists this ribosomal RNA (480 nucleotides) under uncultured bacterium. RNAcentral's name for it is "partial 16S ribosomal RNA". It matches the Rfam family "Bacterial small subunit ribosomal RNA", at positions 28 to 507 of the family's 1533-position model. The record is from RNAcentral.
GAUGAACGCUAGCGGCAGGCCUAACACAUGCAAGUCGAGGGAGAGGUUACCUUCGGGUAACCAAAACCGGCGCACGGGUGCGUAACGCGUAUACAAUCUGCCUUUCACAUAGGGAUAGCCCGAAGAAAUUUGGAUUAAUACCUAAUGGUAUAUAAGAGCGGCAUCGUUUUUAUCUUAAAGCUACAGUGGUGAAAGAUGAGUAUGCGUUCUAUUAGCUAGUUGGAGAGGUAACGGCUCCCCAAGGCGACGAUAGAUAGGGGUUCUGAGAGGGAUGUCCCCCACACUGGUACUGAGAUACGGACCAGACUCCUACGGGAGGCAGCAGUGAGGAAUAUUGGGCAAUGGUCGGAAGACUGAUCCAGCCAUGCCGCGUGCAGGAUGAAGGUCCUAUGGAUUGUAAACUGCUUUUGUAAGGGAAGAAUAAGGAGUACGUGUACUUUGAUGACGGUACCUUACGAAUAAGCAUCGGCUAACUCCGUG